Mus musculus (house mouse) is the source of this 362-nucleotide non-coding RNA. Lineage: Eukaryota; Metazoa; Chordata; Mammalia; Rodentia; Muridae. The record is from the annotation of a RefSeq genome assembly.
AUGAAGCUGCCUGUUCUGCUAGUGGUGCUGCUAUUGUUCACGAGUCCAGCCUCAAGCAGUGAUGUUGUUCUGACCCAAACUCCACUCUCUCUGCCUGUCAAUAUUGGAGAUCAAGCCUCUAUCUCUUGCAAGUCUACUAAGAGUCUUCUGAAUAGUGAUGGAUUCACUUAUUUGGACUGGUACCUGCAGAAGCCAGGCCAGUCUCCACAGCUCCUAAUAUAUUUGGUUUCUAAUCGAUUUUCUGGAGUUCCAGACAGGUUCAGUGGCAGUGGGUCAGGAACAGAUUUCACACUCAAGAUCAGCAGAGUGGAGGCUGAGGAUUUGGGAGUUUAUUAUUGCUUCCAGAGUAACUAUCUUCCUCU